This 337-nucleotide RNase P RNA is filed under the name Gemmatimonadota bacterium. RNAcentral's name for it is "Gemmatimonadetes bacterium (beach sand metagenome) partial RNase P RNA component class A". It matches the Rfam family "Bacterial RNase P class A". Rfam says of the family: Ribonuclease P (RNase P) is a ubiquitous endoribonuclease, found in archaea, bacteria and eukarya as well as chloroplasts and mitochondria. Its best characterised activity is the generation of mature 5'-ends of tRNAs by cleaving the 5'-leader elements of precursor-tRNAs. Cellular RNase Ps are ribonucleoproteins. Lineage: Bacteria; Pseudomonadati; Gemmatimonadota. The record is from RNAcentral.
UUCGGCCGGCGGAGGAAAGUCCGAGCUCCGUAGGGCAGGGUGCCGGGUAACGCCCGGGCGUCGUGAGGCGAUGGAAAGUGCCACAGAGAGCAGACCGCCGAUGGCCGCUUGCGGCACAGGCAAGGGUGAAAGGGUGCGGUAAGAGCGCACCGGGCUUCCUGGCAACAGGGGUCGCAUGGUAAACCCCAUCCGGAGCAAGGCCACAUAGGAGACGAGGGGCUGCCCGCCCCGUCCGAGUCUCGGGUAGGCCGCACCGAGGUCGUCGGAGACGACGGCCCCAGAUGAAUGAUCCUCCCCCGAAAGGGGACAGAACUCGGCUUAUUCGCACGCUCCACCG